Molecule: non-coding RNA, 24 nt
Filed under: Arabidopsis thaliana (thale cress)
Lineage: Eukaryota; Viridiplantae; Streptophyta; Magnoliopsida; Brassicales; Brassicaceae
Also listed under: 7 other names
Source: RNAcentral
UGCCCAGUGCUCUGAAUGUCAAAG